RNAcentral lists this ribosomal RNA (376 nucleotides) under uncultured organism. RNAcentral describes it as "partial 16S ribosomal RNA". It matches the Rfam family "Bacterial small subunit ribosomal RNA", at positions 527 to 896 of the family's 1533-position model. The record is from RNAcentral.
GAACCGGGCAAACGUUAUUCGGAAUUACUGGGCUUAAAGGGUGCGUAGGCGGCGCUUCAAGUCGGGUGUGAAAUCCCCCAGCUCAACUGGGGAACGUGCGCCCGAAACUGGAGUGCUUGAGGGAGAUAGAGGUGAGCGGAACGAAUGGUGGAGCGGUGAAAUGCGUUGAUAUCAUUCGGAACACCCGUGGCGAAAGCGGCUCACUGGGUCUCUUCUGACGCUGAGGCACGAAAGCUAGGGGAGCGAACGGGGAUUAGAUACCCCGGUAGUCCUAGCUGUAAACGAUGAGCACUAGAUCGGGGAGCCCCUCCACAGCCUCCCCCCGAUCGUAGCGAAAGUGUUAAGUGCUCCGCCUGGGGAUAUGGUCGCAAGGCUG